AGUGAACGCUGGCGGUAGGCCUAACACAUGCAAGUCGAACGGCAGCACAGGAGAGCUUGCUCUCUGGGUGGCGAGUGGCGGACGGGUGAGGAAUACAUCGGAAUCUACUCUGUCGUGGGGGAUAACGUAGGGAAACUUACGCUAAUACCGCAUACGACCUACGGGUGAAAGCAGGGGACCUUCGGGCCUUGCGCGAAUGAAUGAGCCGAUGUCGGAUUAGCUAGUUGGCGGGGUAAAGGCCCACCAAGGCGACGAUCCGUAGCUGGUCUGAGAGGAUGAUCAGCCACACUGGAACUGAGACACGGUCCAGACUCCUACGGGAGGCAGCAGUGGGGAAUGUUGGACAAUGGGCGCAAGCCUGAUCCAGCCAUACCGCGUGGGUGAAGAAGGCCUUCGGGUUGUAAAGCCCUUUUGUUGGGAAAGAAAUCCAGCUGGCUAAUACCCGGUUGGGAUGACGGUACCCAAAGAAUAAGCACCGGCUAACUUCGUGCCAGCCGCCGCCGUAA
RNAcentral lists this ribosomal RNA (506 nucleotides) under uncultured bacterium. RNAcentral describes it as "partial 16S ribosomal RNA". It matches the Rfam family "Bacterial small subunit ribosomal RNA", at positions 29 to 523 of the family's 1533-position model. The record is from RNAcentral.